CUAGCCUGCAGUCGACGAUUCCUACGGGAGGCAGCAGUGGGGAAUUUUCCGCAAUGCGCGAAAGCCUGACGGAGCAACGCCGCGUGAGGGAGGAAGGUCUUUGGAUUGUAAACCUCUUUUCUCAAGGAAGAAGUUCUGACGGUACUUGAGGAAUCAGCCUCGGCUAACUCCGUGCCAGCAGCCGCGGUAAUACGGGGGAGGCAAGCGUUAUCCGGAAUUAUUGGGCGUAAAGCGUCCGCAGGUGGUCAGCCAAGUCUGCUGUCAAAUCAGGUUGCUUAACGACCUAAAGGCGGUGGAAACUGGCAGACUAGAGAGCAGUAGGGGUAGCAGGAAUUCCCAGUGUAGCGGUGAAAUGCGUAGAGAUUGGGAAGAACAUCGGUGGCGAAAGCGUGCUACUGGGCUGUAUCUGACACUCAGGGACGAAAGCUAGGGGAGCGAAAGGGAUUAGAUACCCCUGUAGUCCUAGCCGUAAACGAUGGAUACUAGGCGUGGCUUGUAUCGACCCGAGCCGUGCCGAAGCUAACGCGUUAAGUAUCCCGCCUGGGGAGUACGCACGCAAGUGUGAAACUCAAAGGAAU
This 578-nucleotide ribosomal RNA is filed under the name Microcystis aeruginosa 16S-2. RNAcentral describes it as "bacterial SSU rRNA". It matches the Rfam family "Bacterial small subunit ribosomal RNA", at positions 319 to 910 of the family's 1533-position model. Lineage: Bacteria; Bacillati; Cyanobacteriota; Cyanophyceae; Chroococcales; Microcystaceae. The record is from RNAcentral.